UCAUAGCCCAGAUGGAAGUGAAAAGCCCACAGUCCCGUUGUUUAAUUUUUAUGAGUGACUCAAAAGCAACUGGAAGAAGCUUAUGAGACGCUUUAGAAAAAUAAACAACGGGGCGCGGACUUGAAACGUACAGCUGGAAAUAGC
Non-coding RNA from Flavobacterium sp., 144 nucleotides. The record is from Rfam. NCBI's taxonomy places the organism in Bacteria, Pseudomonadati, Bacteroidota, Flavobacteriia, Flavobacteriales, Flavobacteriaceae.